RNAcentral lists this ribosomal RNA (446 nucleotides) under uncultured bacterium. RNAcentral's name for it is "bacterial SSU rRNA". It matches the Rfam family "Bacterial small subunit ribosomal RNA", at positions 329 to 792 of the family's 1533-position model. The record is from RNAcentral.
GUCCAGACUCCUACGGGAGGCAGCAGUGGGGAAUAUUGCACAAUGGGGGAAACCCUGAUGCAGCGACGCCGCGUGAAGGAAGAAGUAUUUCGGUAUGUAAACUUCUAUCAGCAGGGAAGAAAAUGACGGUACCUGACUAAGAAGCCCCGGCUAACCACGUGCCAGCAGCCGCGGUAAUACGUAGGGGGCAAGCGUUAUCCGGAUUUACUGGGUGUAAAGGGAGCGUAGACGGCAUGGCAAGUCAGAUGUGAAAGCCCGGGGCUCAACCCCGGGACUGCAUUUGAAACUGUCAGGCUGGAGUGCAGGAGAGGUAAGUGGAAUUCCUAGUGUAGCGGUGAAAUGCGUAGAUAUUAGGAGGAACACCAGUGGCGAAGGCGGCUUACUGGACUGUAACUGACGUUGAGGCUCGAAAGCGUGGGGAGCAAACAGGAUUAGAUACCCCAGUA